This 74-nucleotide transfer RNA is filed under the name Histiona aroides. RNAcentral describes it as "tRNA-Arg". It matches the Rfam family "tRNA". Rfam says of the family: Transfer RNA (tRNA) molecules are approximately 80 nucleotides in length. Their secondary structure includes four short double-helical elements and three loops (D, anti-codon, and T loops). Further hydrogen bonds mediate the characteristic L-shaped molecular structure. tRNAs have two regions of fundamental functional importance: the anti-codon, which is responsible for specific mRNA codon recognition, and the 3' end, to which the tRNAs corresponding amino acid is attached (by aminoacyl-tRNA synthetases). tRNAs cope with the degeneracy of the genetic code in two manners: having more than one tRNA (with a specific anti-codon) for a particular amino acid; and 'wobble' base-pairing, i.e. permitting non-standard base-pairing at the 3rd anti-codon position. Lineage: Eukaryota; Jakobea; Jakobida; Histionidae. The record is from RNAcentral.
GCACCGGUAGCUCAUCUGGUUAGAGCGUCAAGCUACGAACUUGAAGGUAGGGAGUUCAAAUCUCCCCUGGUGCU